GGGGAUUUAGUUCAGUGGUAGAGCGCUUGCCUAGGAAGCGCAAGGCCCUGGGUUCGAUCCCCAGCUCCG
Rattus norvegicus (Norway rat) is the source of this 69-nucleotide non-coding RNA. The record is from Rfam. NCBI's taxonomy places the organism in Eukaryota, Metazoa, Chordata, Mammalia, Rodentia, Muridae.